CUUUGAGAAUGUCCACAUUAACAUCUGUUCCCUAUUAUAUCAAGACCUUGCUAAAGGCAUCCAUUAUCUAUGAAUAGUAAUAACUCUAUUAAUGAAGAGGAUGCAUUCCAGCAGCACAAUCUUUUGUCAGAACUGUCAUUCCCGAGAUUCAUGAAACUUUAAAACUGGAAGAGAUCUUGGCAAUCUUCUAUCAGGAGUUAACAAGCUCAUAUGGGGGAAAAGCAUCAUUUCUGAGACACUACGGCAUCUACUUUCUUGCUGUUAUUCAGAAGAUUGAUAUGAUCUAUAACUUCAAAUUCCCUCACCUUGGUAAUUUCAGCAGUGCAUCUGAGCCAUUCAUGUGUGACAGAAUACUACAGAGGUCAGGGGAACAGGUUGUGCUCGUUGCUGGGGCGAUUCUGAAGCUGUUGUGAUCUCACCAACCGGUUAUGAAUAACAAUGGCAAAAUGGAGCCCAGUGUGACUACAGUGAGGAUGUCUGUGCAGAGAGUUCCCCUUCUCCCCAGACAUGCAACUGAACCAAAGAAUGCAAGUGGAGCCUUGUUGAUUUUAUGUUAAUGCAUAUGUCAUUAUGCUGUGAGCAUGUUUACAUGGCAUAAUUCUGCUCUUAUGCAUUUAAUCAGUUAGAAUUGUGGCUCCAUUUAAAUACCUAGGUGUCCCCCAUCUAUUCAGUUUUAUUGGAACCAAAAUAAAAUUUCAACAAGAAUGC
RNAcentral lists this long non-coding RNA (708 nucleotides) under Phascolarctos cinereus (koala). RNAcentral's name for it is "lncRNA (ENSPCIG00000028880.2)". Lineage: Eukaryota; Metazoa; Chordata; Mammalia; Diprotodontia; Phascolarctidae. The record is from RNAcentral.